CGGACGGGUGAGUAACGCGUGGGUAACCUGCCUCAUACAGGGGGAUAACAGUUAGAAAUGACUGCUAAUACCGCAUAAGACCACAGCACCGCAUGGUGCAGGGGUAAAAACUCCGGUGGUAUGAGAUGGACCCGCGUCUGAUUAGGUAGUUGGUGAGGUAACGGCCCACCAAGGCGACGAUCAGUAGCCGACCUGAGAGGGUGACCGGCCACAUUGGGACUGAGACACGGCCCAG
This 235-nucleotide ribosomal RNA is filed under the name uncultured bacterium. RNAcentral describes it as "partial 16S ribosomal RNA". It matches the Rfam family "Bacterial small subunit ribosomal RNA", at positions 99 to 334 of the family's 1533-position model. The record is from RNAcentral.